GCGGAUUUAGCUCAGUUGGGAGAGCGCCAGACUGAAGUCGUUCUUCGGUCAGAGUAUCUGGAGGUCCUGUGUUCGAUCCACAGAAUUCGCA
Transfer RNA from Yarrowia lipolytica, 91 nucleotides. It matches the Rfam family "tRNA". Rfam says of the family: Transfer RNA (tRNA) molecules are approximately 80 nucleotides in length. NCBI's taxonomy places the organism in Eukaryota, Fungi, Ascomycota, Dipodascomycetes, Dipodascales. The record is from Rfam.